GGAUGUGAGGGUGAUCUGGCUGUGACAUCUGUCACCCCACUGAACGCCAGGGUUGAUUUGGCUGAUCUGGCUGACUAGGAGGGUGUCCCCUUCCUCACUGUUCCAUGUGCGUCCCUUCUGAUGAAGAGGAAAGCCUUCCCCGAAUAGAGGUGGACCAGUCUUUGGUCGAAGGUAUACUAGUAGCUGCGCUCCCCCUGCUAGAACCUACAGACAGGCUCUCAAGAGAACAGGAGUCAGGGGCACAGAAGCUUCAGUCCUACCACUAUCUAGCUAUCUGCCCAUUAUAUAAUCCUCUCAACUUGUGGGCAUUAGCU
RNAcentral lists this small nuclear RNA (314 nucleotides) under Erinaceus europaeus (western European hedgehog). RNAcentral describes it as "7SK RNA". It matches the Rfam family "7SK RNA". Rfam says of the family: 7SK was discovered as an abundant small nuclear RNA in the mid-70s but a possible function has only recently been suggested. Two independent studies have found that 7SK RNA binds the CDK9/cyclin T complex (known as elongation factor P-TEFb). Lineage: Eukaryota; Metazoa; Chordata; Mammalia; Eulipotyphla; Erinaceidae. The record is from Rfam by way of RNAcentral.